AUUGAACGCUGGCGGCAGGCCUAACACAUGCAAGUCGAGCGAGCGGCGGACGGGUGAGUAAUGUAUGGGGACUGCCCGCUAGAGGGGGAGAACUACUGGAAACGGUGGCUAAUACCGCAUACUGUCGUGUAACCCCUAUGGGUUGAGCUAGUAGGUAAGGUAAUGGCUUACCUAGGCGACGAUCCCUAGCUGGUCUGAGAGGAGGAUCAGCCACAUCGGGACUGGUCCACGGCCCAGACUCCUACGGAGGCAGCAGUGGGGAACAUUGGACAAUGGGCGCAAGCCUGAUGCAGCCCUGCCGCGUGUAUGAAGAACGCCCUAGGGUUGUAAAGUACUUUCAGUCGGGAGGCGUUAGACAAAGAAGAAGCACCGGCUAACUCCGUGCCAGCAGCCGCGGUAAUAG
This 403-nucleotide ribosomal RNA is filed under the name uncultured bacterium. RNAcentral's name for it is "partial 16S ribosomal RNA". It matches the Rfam family "Bacterial small subunit ribosomal RNA", at positions 30 to 526 of the family's 1533-position model. The record is from RNAcentral.